UCUCAAUCAAGAUAAUUAACAUAUCCAUCACCUCAUACAGUUUUCUUUUAUUGCAUGUGUGGUAACCAUAGUUAAGAUCUGCUCUCUUAGCACAUUGCAAGCAUACAAUGUGUUAUUGUUACCUAUGGUCACUGGCUCUACGUUAGCUGUCUAGAACUUAUCUUAUAACUGAAAGUUUGCACCCUUUGGCCACUAUCUCCCUAUUUUCCUCAUCCCCAACCCCUGGAAACUACCUUUCUGCUCUCAGUUUCUAUGUGGUUAGUAAAAAGCAAAACCCAACAGGUUCUAGGCUGUUGAGGCUCUGUGUUGGAAGCACGUCAACAGGUGUACAGGACACUCUUUGGUCUUGGGAUGAAUGGCGGCUUCAAUUGUAUUAUAUUUGUAUAAUUAUAUUUGUAUAAUUGUAUAAUAUUCACUGUAUAGUUAAAAAUGAAUUAGAUGAGUGAAAAAAAUAGAUGACAAAAUGAAAGAAGCCCAAGAAUAGACUAUGCAGACAAUGUUUUAUGAACUUAAGAUUAAGAAUAAUCCAUUUGUGUACAGUUGUGGACUAUUUAAAACAAAAUAAGACUUUUACUUCUGUGGAUUUGUUUUGAAUGUACUAAUCAAUAUUUUUGUUCUAGAUUAGUGCUGGGUUCAUCUGUGUUUAUUGUAUUUAAAAAUAAGUAAAAAUAUUAAAAAGAAUGAGUAGGAAAUAAUGAUGAGAUUAUAUCUGGAAUCAAAGAUUAUUAUUAUUCCAACUCUGUAUUUGAGUCCAGUUGGAAGAAUAUCUGGGUUGGUUCCUUUGUGGGUAAGAAGCAUAGGGACAAGUGCUUGUAAUACUCAUUGUUUCUGUUUGUGAUUAGGGCGGUAAAUUAAUGCAUACUCACUGUAAUAAUAAAAAUUAAUAAAUGUCUAAAUACAUGCAAUGAGAGCUAUGCUUGAGCCAGUGGUGAGACUGUGUCAUGAACGAAAGAUUAUGACUAAUCCUGUGCUUCUCACCUGAUGGCCAUUAAAAAAUAUCUAGGAUGUUUCAUCCCUGUUGACAUAUCUGCCUUGUGUUCCGCAGAGUGGAGGCCCCAAGUGAAUGUAAUGACACUGUCUUGAUGAAGAUCUCGGGUGUGACCUUUGUGGGGAAUGAGCCGUGAACCCAUGAAACCUGCUUGGAUAACUCCCUAGACCGCAAUAGAGCCUCCCUCCUUCCUGUUGGGUUUUUGAGGCACGCUGGAUCUAUUCAAUAUACCAAAUCUGAUUUAUUCAUCAUCCAGUGACGGAGAUCUUGGCCGUCACUUCUCUGGACGAGGAGCCGAGGGAGGCAGUCCGUAUUUUGCUUCACCAAAUGCACACGCCACAGAUGACUUAACCAUUCUCUAGUGCUAAAGAUCUCGGCCUUUUCCUCUGUGGGUAAGGAGAGAAGAGAUUAGUAUGAAAAGAAAUCUAGACUCAUUCCACUUUGAACAAAGCACAUGUCAGCAGUUGCAUGAAAUGGUAUUUCAGUUCUGGAUUGCUGAAUGACAAGCACAUAGCUGGUUUUAUUAUCCUCUAAUCACAAAGACCAUAACUGUUCCUUCUGGACGAAGGCGCAUAAAGACUGACAGUGAACGCAAGACAGUUGAUUUAGUCAUUCAGUAAAGAGUGUUAUCCUGAAUAAGGGGCGUAGACACUAAUAUAAAAUGAACACAUUCCACCCGACUGAGUUAUUGCCUUCUGGUGAAGAUGUUGCCUUUCACCUCCAUGGAUGAGGAGGGAAGAGAUCCAUGCAGAGCGGGCAGCGUACCACGUGGGAUUUGGUUGUUCCCCUGCGAUGAAGAGCACGGCUGCUGCUUUGGUGGGUGAGGAGCAAUGUCAGUGCAAGAGUUUCUGCUCUGGACCAAAGACCAUGGCCGAUUUAAUCAGUUUCUGCUGAUGAAGAUCAUGGCUUGUCCCUUUGUGGAAUGGAUGCACAGGGAUUCAUUCACCCAUUCUCCAGCGAGGACCGUCUGGCUGUCGUCUUUUGGGUAAUGUUUCUAGAAACCUACAAUGGAGGUACGAGGGCUGAUUCAAUCAUCCCCACACGUGAAGGUUUUGGUGGUUGCCUAUUUGGGUAUGGAGAGAGUAGGCUGAGAAUGAGUGUCGCAGUCUGCUCUCAGCGCCGGGCUGUGGCCCCGAGCUCUGUGCUGCGCUGUGUGUCAGCACAAGGACUCAUGUGAGUAGCAGCUAAAAUUCUUUGCCUUUGUAGUCAUCACUUAAGAAUGAAUUUAUUCUUAAGUGUUUCCUGUGCAUACAUAGUCAUUUUAUUAUGGUUAUUACCCAGUUUUAUUAGGGUUAUUAACCAAUGGAUGACUUAUUUCGACAAAUAAAUGUGGGGAUGAAGGAAGAGAGAGAGAGUCAGUCUUGGGCCUGUGAUGACAACUGACGGCGUACGAGUCAGGGACGAUGAAUACAGCUCUGGAAGUCUGAGGUCCGGCACAGUAGAUAGUCUAGGCUGUACCUUCUGAUCCUAUGGACAGAUGUUAGGGAUAUUCGAGGGCUUUUGUUCUUGGGCUUCACGUUCAUGCACUUCCAUUUUAUUUUUAUAACUGGAUCAAUGACUCAGUAAACAGAAAUAUAAAGAUAAAGAGGGCAAAUCAUUGUCCAGUUAUGAAAAUAUAUGGUGUGACGAAAAAUGCUAUUAAUACAUAUUAGAAACGCUGAAGUCCAUUAAGAAACAAUGCCUCAAAGGUGUUACUUCUUUGCCUGAGGAUGAUAUAAAGUAAAAAUAGUGGCCUCUGCCCUUGUUCGGUCAGGGCCAUGUUCAAUGUUGUUUUCUGAAGAAGAAGGGAAAAAAAAACAACCCCACAAACAUGAAUGCAUACUUAAUGACUAAGAAAAUAAAGGAGAAAUGCAAGGAUGAAUGGACAGAAUACUUCAAUCUUUGUAUGAUCUUUUCUUCUUUGUACUCUGAGAAUGGAUGCUUCCAAACUGCUUUAAGCAUUCUUCUAUGGUCACAAGCUCCGUGAUCGCAACGGUGUAUUGGGAGCGUAGAGACCAACAAUGGGCACACUGGAGUUGGUUCAAGGAUUUUUCUAUGGUCAGAAACUCUGCAGUCCUCUGUAGUUGGUGACACCGAUACCAAUAAUGGACAGGCCCAGCUGGCGGAAGCAAUCGGCCGUGACCCUGUUCUCCACGGCUGCCUCUGUGGGUAGGGACCGGGAGACCCAAUAGUGGACAUGCCGGAGCUGAUUUAAGGGUUCUCCCAUAGUCACAAGACGAUGGUUGCCGCUGUAUGUUUGGAGCAUAAAAACCACUAUUGGACACAUCCAAGCAGAUUUAAGCCUCGGUCCAUGGUCUCUAUGGCUGACUCCAUGUGCACGAGCAUGGAAGCCAAUAUGAGAAUGAAGAGGAAGACUUGACACCUGGACCAACGAUGACAGUGGGUGACUGUGGGUAACCCAAGCUGGUUCAAGCAUUUGACAGUGAUAACAUGCUUCAUGAUUGCCUCUGUGUGUUAGAACAUGGACCAAUGUGAAUAAUAGUCAAUGUUCUUGUUGUGGUUUUUGUGCUUUGUUUAAUGUAUUCAUUGUGACAUUGAAAAUAUAAUUAUAUAGACAUUAAAUAUACUCAAAGAAGGCCAAUCAUUUCCCAAUCAUAAAUAUAGAGUUGACAUGAAACAUGUUGAUCAAUUGAGUUUUGCAACAAUAAGAUUGGUUAAUGAAAGAGGUAUAAUAUUUGCAUGCCAAACACCCGAUAAAGGGCUGAUAACUAGACUCUAUAUAGAACUCAGGAAAAUCAGCAAGAAAAAAAA
Microcebus murinus (gray mouse lemur) is the source of this 3739-nucleotide non-coding RNA. Lineage: Eukaryota; Metazoa; Chordata; Mammalia; Primates; Cheirogaleidae. The record is from RefSeq and is a predicted model, not a curated record.